Molecule: ribosomal RNA, 1213 nt
Filed under: Staphylococcus aureus
Lineage: Bacteria; Bacillati; Bacillota; Bacilli; Caryophanales; Staphylococcaceae
Description: partial 23S ribosomal RNA
Rfam family: Bacterial large subunit ribosomal RNA
Source: RNAcentral
UCCACCGAUUGACUAAGGUUUCCAGAGGAAGGCUCGUCCGCUCUGGGUUAGUCGGGUCCUAAGCUGAGGCCGACAGGCGUAGGCGAUGGAUAACAGGUUGAUAUUCCUGUACCACCUAUAAUCGUUUUAAUCGAUGGGGGGACGCAGUAGGAUAGGCGAAGCGUGCGAUUGGAUUGCACGUCUAAGCAGUAAGGCUGAGUAUUAGGCAAAUCCGGUACUCGUUAAGGCUGAGCUGUGAUGGGGAGAAGACAUUGUGUCUUCGAGUCGUUGAUUUCACACUGCCGAGAAAAGCCUCUAGAUAGAAAAUAGGUGCCCGUACCGCAAACCGACACAGGUAGUCAAGAUGAGAAUUCUAAGGUGAGCGAGCGAACUCUCGUUAAGGAACUCGGCAAAAUGACCCCGUAACUUCGGGAGAAGGGGUGCUCUUUAGGGUUAACGCCCAGAAGAGCCGCAGUGAAUAGGCCCAAGCGACUGUUUAUCAAAAACACAGGUCUCUGCUAAACCGUAAGGUGAUGUAUAGGGGCUGACGCCUGCCCGGUGCUGGAAGGUUAAGAGGAGUGGUUAGCUUCUGCGAAGCUACGAAUCGAAGCCCCAGUAAACGGCGGCCGUAACUAUAACGGUCCUAAGGUAGCGAAAUUCCUUGUCGGGUAAGUUCCGACCCGCACGAAAGGCGUAACGAUUUGGGCACUGUCUCAACGAGAGACUCGGUGAAAUCAUAGUACCUGUGAAGAUGCAGGUUACCCGCGACAGGACGGAAAGACCCCGUGGAGCUUUACUGUAGCCUGAUAUUGAAAUUCGGCACAGCUUGUACAGGAUAGGUAGGAGCCUUUGAAACGUGAGCGCUAGCUUACGUGGAGGCGCUGGUGGGAUACUACCCUAGCUGUGUUGGCUUUCUAACCCGCACCACUUAUCGUGGUGGGAGACAGUGUCAGGCGGGCAGUUUGACUGGGGCGGUCGCCUCCUAAAAGGUAACGGAGGCGCUCAAAGGUUCCCUCAGAAUGGUUGGAAAUCAUUCAUAGAGUGUAAAGGCAUAAGGGAGCUUGACUGCGAGACCUACAAGUCGAGCAGGGUCGAAAGACGGACUUAGUGAUCCGGUGGUUCCGCAUGGAAGGGCCAUCGCUCAACGGAUAAAAGCUACCCCGGGGAUAACAGGCUUAUCUCCCCCAAGAGUUCACAUCGACGGGGAGGUUUGGCACCUCGAUGUCGGCUCAUC